Molecule: unclassified non-coding RNA, 1071 nt
Filed under: Ixodes scapularis (black-legged tick)
Lineage: Eukaryota; Metazoa; Arthropoda; Arachnida; Ixodida; Ixodidae
Description: uncharacterized LOC121838419, transcript variant X3
Source: RNAcentral
CUCAAGUGGCUCAAGUUCUCUAGUGGAACGAGGUUGACCGUGCGCAGUGGCAGCCGUUGACAACAAAAACAAUGUAUGCACUCAGCUUCGCCGGAUGAGUGCCGGCGUCGAUCGCGAACCGCCAGAGCCGCCAAAUACCUCUCGUACAUCUCCAAGAACACCAAGAACAGGAGGUAUUCAUAAAGGUCUGAACCACGCGAGGAUCGUCUCGAAGCAUGGUAGCCUCAACAGACGCUUGCCGCCACACGCGAGGAGAAAGCAGGAGGCCCGAAGUUUGAAUGUGAAGAGGAGGUGCGAAGAGCUGGCCCUCACUUUUUCAAGGCAGCCGCAGAACACUACGAGCCCCGAAUCACUGCCGCGGCUGACUCGCGCGGAUGCUGUGCUGCACCCUGCACUGCACAUGGUUCGAAGCACACUUCAGGGGACCAGUGCAUGCCCCUGAUGCAUCGUCGCGGUCCCGGGGAUCAUGGCAUCGAUGAGCUCGCUUUCACCUUGUCCAAGGUAGCAGCGGAACACUACGGGCAGGCCCGGAGUCACCGCACCGGCUGGCUCACGGGCGUCGUCCUGUACUCUGCACGGCACUGCGUGUGGCUUAACCGGCCAAGCAGAGGGUCACUGCAUGACCUUUAUGAGGCGUCGCUAGCCAUUGUAAGUAUAUUUUGGACGCUCGUGUCAGGGGAUGUACUUUUGUGUUCUACAACAGAACAUGUUUGGUGGCGGUUCAGUCUUGCCAAUUCAGCUAUUUCGAAACAUAAUUUUGUGGCGACUCGGCUUAGGUUUUCUGGCUCGGCCGUCUUUUGCACCAGUGUCUAGGCUCGGCGUAAGCCUCUUUGUUCUUUAUUGUCAAGGCUAGUGUAAUUUCUGCUACGCCGUCGAAGCAACUUCUGCAUGCGAACAAGAUGCAAGACGAAGCUACAUGCUCGUGCACAGUGCAUGACCACAUGUGAAAACUAAUAGCGAGUUUGUUUCGCUGCACUCGUGCCCAUGCGCACCCACUCGCAACAUGAAGUGAGUUUGUUUCGCCGCCGGCACUCCACACGUGCAUGCGCUCGCUGCACCCUGAGAAUUAAG